GCGAGUUAUUACAGCCAAACCUCCAGUUAAAUUCAGUUGCUCCCAGCGCUUACCUAUCCUGCCCGGGAGAGAACAACUAACCUGCUGAAAGCGAUCAUCUCCAAAUCUGAAGAUCUACAGAAGAAAGAAAGUCUUACAUUUUUGGAACAACAUGAGGUAUGUCUGUAGAGGAGUGGUGAUGCUGUGAGGAAAGAGAGGGAGAGAGACAGAGAGGAUGAGAUCAAGGUCAUCUCUGUCUAAAACGAAUGAAUCAUGCAUGUCCAGGCAACAGCAGGAUGACUGCAGCACCUGACUUUCACAUCCUGAUGAAACCCAAGAAAUGAGAUGGGUGACAUUUCAUUGGUCAUGGCUUUGGCACAUACUCCUCUGAUGAAAUUAAAAAAGAAGUGCUACUUAAACGAGGGGGAAGUUUCAGCGCAAUUAACCUUUGAAUUGCACAAAGCGUAUUUCAGUUAACCAUUUUAGUCAGCAUGUUAAAUUCAAAAAUUGCAUGAUACCUUUGUGAAAAGUGAACAAAUAAAAUCAAAGCCAAUUUCAAAGCUGAUAUUAAAACCAAUACAUAUAAGGAUACAAUGUGUAACUACACUGAUGGAUUUUUUUUUUAUUUUUUACAAUCAAUCCACCUACUUCCACUUAAACUUGUAAAAACUUGCAAAAUUUGUAUUUCAACUUAAAUGAUGAUAAACCGACUAAAAUCUGAAUUUCUUAUAAAUCUCAUAUGGUUUUUUCAGUGUAUAACUAUUUAACAUU
Molecule: long non-coding RNA, 750 nt
Organism: Onychostoma macrolepis
Lineage: Eukaryota; Metazoa; Chordata; Actinopteri; Cypriniformes; Cyprinidae
Exons: 3
Source: RefSeq, a predicted model, not a curated record